GAUGAAGAACGUAGUGAAAUGCGAUAAGUAAUGCGAAUUGCAGAAUUCAGUGAGUCAUCGAAUCUUUGAACGCACAUUGCGCCCGCCAGUAUUCUGGCGGGCAUGCCUGUUCGAGCGUCAUUACAACCCUCAGGCCCCCGGGCCUGGCGUUGGGGAUCGGCGGAAGCCCCCUGCGGGCACAACGCCGUCCCCCAAAUACAGUGGCGGUCCCGCCGCAGCUUCCAUUGCGUAGUAGCUAACACCUCGCAACUGGAGAGCGGCGCGGCCACGCCGUAAAACACCCAACUUCUGAAUGUUGACCUCGAAUCAGGUAGGAAUACCCGCUGAACUUAAGCAUAUCAAUAAGCGGAGGA
This 353-nucleotide unclassified non-coding RNA is filed under the name soil metagenome. Its description in RNAcentral is "partial contains 5.8S ribosomal RNA, internal transcribed spacer 2, and large subunit ribosomal RNA". The stretch from base 1 to 120 matches the Rfam family "5.8S ribosomal RNA", at positions 35 to 154 of the family's 154-position model. The record is from RNAcentral.